GUCGAAUGCUCCGCAGGGGCAUGGCGAACGAGGUAGUAACACGUGGGAAUUUCCCCCAGAGUCGAGGAUAACCCGGCGAAAGCCGGAGCAAUACCCGAUAGUCUCUAUGGAGUAAAGUCGUAAGACGCUCUGGGAAAAGCCUGCGAAGUAUCAGCUAGUUGGUAGGGUAAUGGCCUACCAAGGCGAUGACGCUUAGGGGAGCUGAGAGGCUGACCCCCACCGAUGGGACUGAGAUACGGCCCAUACACCUACGGGUGGCUGCAGUCGAGAAUCUUCCGCAAUGGACGAAAGUCUGA
This 296-nucleotide ribosomal RNA is filed under the name uncultured bacterium. RNAcentral describes it as "partial 16S ribosomal RNA". It matches the Rfam family "Bacterial small subunit ribosomal RNA", at positions 61 to 386 of the family's 1533-position model. The record is from RNAcentral.